GAAGGGUGGCCGAGUGGUUAAAGGCAACAGACUGUAAAUCUGUCGGCGUUAGCCUACGCAAGUUCGAAUCUUGCCCCUUCC
This 81-nucleotide transfer RNA is filed under the name bovine gut metagenome. It matches the Rfam family "tRNA". From Rfam's summary of the family: Transfer RNA (tRNA) molecules are approximately 80 nucleotides in length. Their secondary structure includes four short double-helical elements and three loops (D, anti-codon, and T loops). The record is from RNAcentral.